GAUGAAGAACGCAGCGAAAUGCGAUACGUAAUGUGAAUUGCAGAAUUCAGUGAAUCAUCGAAUCUUUGAACGCAUAUUGCGCUCUCUGGUAUUCCGGAGAGCAUGCUUGUUUGAGUAUCAGUAAACACCUCAACUUCCAUAUCUUUUUUUGAAAUGGGAGUUGGACUUGAGUGAUCCCAACGCUUUUCCUCACCGAAAAGUGGCGGGUUACUUGAAAUGCAGGUGCAGCUGGACUUUUCUCUGAGCUAUAAGCAUAUCUAUUUAGUCUGCCUAAAAAACAGAUUAUUACCUUUGCUGCGGCUAACAUAAAGGAGAUUAGUUCUUGUGCUGACUGAUGCAGGAUUCACAAAGACAGCUUCGGCCGACUUUGUAAACUCGAUCUCAAAUCAAGUAAGACUACCCGCUGAACUUAAGCAUAUCAAUAAGCGGAGGA
This 433-nucleotide unclassified non-coding RNA is filed under the name soil metagenome. RNAcentral describes it as "partial contains 5.8S ribosomal RNA, internal transcribed spacer 2, and large subunit ribosomal RNA". The stretch from base 1 to 120 matches the Rfam family "5.8S ribosomal RNA", at positions 35 to 154 of the family's 154-position model. The record is from RNAcentral.